Molecule: ribosomal RNA, 504 nt
Filed under: uncultured bacterium
Lineage: Bacteria
Description: partial 16S ribosomal RNA
Rfam family: Bacterial small subunit ribosomal RNA
Source: RNAcentral
AUUGAACGCUGGCGGCAGGCCUAACACAUGCAAUUCGAACGGUAGCACAGAGAGCUUGCUCUUGGGUGACGAGUGGCGGACGGGUGAGUAAUGUCUGGGAAACUGCCUGAUGGAGGGAGAUAACUACUGGAAACGGUAGCUAAUACCGCAUAACGUCGCAAGACCAAAGAGGGGGACAUUCGGGCCGCUUGCCAUCAGAUUUGCCCAGAUGGGAUUAGCUAGUAGGUGGGGUAACGGCUCACCUAGGCGACGAUCCCUAGCUGGUCUGAGAGGAUGACCAGCCACACUGGAACUGAGACACGGUCCAGACUCCUACGGGAGGCAGCAGUGGGGAAUAUUGCACAAUGGGCGCAAGCCUGAUGCAGCCAUGCCGCGUGUAUGAAGAAGGCCUUCGGGUUGUAAAGUACUUUCAGCGAGGAGGAAGGCGAUACGGUUAAUAACCGUGUCGAUUGACGUUACUCGCAGAAGAAGCACCGGCUAACUCCGUGCCAGCCGCCGCCGUAA